UACGUAGGUGGCAAGCGUUGUCCGGAUUUAUUGGGUUUAAAAGGUGCGUAGGCGGUCUUAUAAGUCAGUGGUGAAAUACGGCAGCUCAACUGUCGAGGUGCCAUUGAUACUGUAGGACUUGAGUACAGACGAGGUAGGCGGAAUUGACGGUGUAGCGGUGAAAUGCUUAGAUAUCGUCAAGAACACCGAUAGUGUAGACAGCUUACUAGGCUGAAACUGACGCUGAGGCACGAAAGUGUGGGGAGUCAAACAGGA
RNAcentral lists this ribosomal RNA (255 nucleotides) under uncultured bacterium. Its description in RNAcentral is "partial 16S ribosomal RNA". It matches the Rfam family "Bacterial small subunit ribosomal RNA", at positions 524 to 777 of the family's 1533-position model. The record is from RNAcentral.